This 2156-nucleotide long non-coding RNA is filed under the name Salvia miltiorrhiza (redroot sage). RNAcentral describes it as "long non-coding RNA (SMIL_LNC006702)". The record is from RNAcentral. Lineage: Eukaryota; Viridiplantae; Streptophyta; Magnoliopsida; Lamiales; Lamiaceae.
GCUUACUGUUCGGUUCGGCCCUCUUCCCUCUUCACCUUCAUCAGCCUUGUGCUACUUGCCGUUGGUUUCCAUUCGAUGGGAGUGUUUCAGAGAUCUGGCAGACCCCUACUCUCAUCCCUCUCUUGGCGAUACUUCACGCCAGAGGUGCCAUGCUUAACUGUGGGGUCUGCCCUCUCCUUUCCAUCGUCAUAGUAAGAGGAAACUGCUCUUUGCCGUUUUUACAAAGAUUUGCAGAAGAUUGAAAAGAUGAUUCAUGUGGUCUUCACGUUAAGGCAUAACAGGUGGUCUCUCUCUUUGUUGGAGGUUCUUCCGUUUGUUUGGACUUCAUCCGGCAAUUUGUUACUUGCUGUUGAUAGUGUUUUGGGAGCGCCGGCAGAAUCAACUCUUCAUCCUCUCGUGGUGAUACUUCACGUUGGAGGUAAGCUUAUUUUCCGUUUCUGCCUGCUCCUUUUUCGCCUUCAUCCGGCUGUUAUCUUUGCCGUUAUUUUCCUUUCGUUGGAAGUACAUCAGAGUUCAGGCAGUCCCCCAUUCUCAUCCCUCUCGUGCUGAAACUUCAUGGCCGGAGGUGCCAUGCUUAGCUCUCGGGGCUGCUCUCUCCAUCCUUCAUUUGUUAGAGUAUACUGCUCUUUGCCGACAUUAUUAGAUUUGCAGAAGAUUGAAAUUAAGGAAGGUUUCAUGUGGUUUUCACGUAAAGGCAUAACAGGUGAUCUCUCUCUUUGAUGGAGGUUCUUCCGUUUUUUGGUUUUCUUCCGGCGAUUAGUUCUUGCUGAGAUAAUGUUUUGGGAGCGCCGGCAGACCCCCUAUCCUUCAUCCUCUUGAAGUGUAACGUCACGACUGAGGUAUGCUUAUUUCUUCGGUUCUGCAUGCUCCCUUUUCGCCUUCAUCCGGCUGUUCUCUUUUCGCCGUUGGUUUCCUUUCGUGGUAGUACGUCAGAGUUCAGGCAGGGCCUGUCUCCAUCCAUCGAACUGUUUGAGGAAAACUGCUCUUUGCCGAAAAUCUUAAGAAUUAGCAGAAGAUUGAUGUAUGGAAAGGAUUCAUGUGUUCUUCAUGUUCAAGGCAGAAUAAAUGUUCUCUCUUAUCGAUGAUGGUUCUUCCGCCAGAUUGGGUUUCUCACAUGCGGUGCCAUGCAUUGCCUUUGGGUCUACCCAUCCACUCAUCGUUAUUGUAAGAGAUAAUCUGUUCUUUACCGUAUCACACGAAUUUGCAGAAGAUGAAAGUUGAAGAAUCUUUUCUCCGACAGUUCACCCGUAAAUUCAGGUUGAUACUCCUUGAAAAUGUCACAAUUUCACCGGAGGAGUCUUGCUCUACAUAUGAGUCUUGCCGGCCUUCUUUCCGACGUCUUCUCCCUCCGUUGCCAUGUUUAUCUUUCGGGUCGGCGUUCUUGUUCAUCGUGUUUGCAUGAGAAAAUUUAAAAUUUUCUUUCAAACGGCAACCGACAAGGCACUCAAUGCUGUGUGUUGGAAAUUCAAAAGUUAAUUCAAUACCUUGGUAAGCCAAAAAGUGGGCGGCGGUAUAAAGGCAACAGACAAGGAAUCUAUGUCUUGAUUAUGCCUUGGUUAACCGAGCAAGUGGGGGGCAGCAUCAUUGCCUUGAAGAACCAAAUAUGGGCGGCUGCAACAAUCAAGUAAUUCAAUGCUUUUUCUCGAAAAACACUUUAGUGGGAGACAGCAAUUAUGAAAUUCAAAGCUUUGUCUUGGUAGUAAUUGAGCUGCGAUCCAGUGCAUUGCGGUGCAAUUACCCCGACAGUUUACCCUUCAUCAAGCUCAUCGUGCACGCGCUUCAUCGUCUGGCCUCCUGGCCUAUUCCUUUACAGCACAAGUGGGACUAGUUUUUGGAUUAAGAUACUAUGUUGUACCUUGUAACGGCACCAUCCAAAUGCAAAGGAUGUGCCAAGUUUGUACUCUUGCUAUCCUUUUGGAUUAGCAUUUAUCUUGCGUUCCCUUUUCUAAAUUCUUGUAAAUAUGUUUGUUUGCUUGUACUAUUUAUGGCACCGCCCAAAUGCAAAGGGUGUGCCAAGUUUGUACUUUUGCUUUCUUAGGAAUAGCAUCUCCCGUUUCAGUCCCUUGCUCUCACUUGAGACUUGGUGACUCGUACUCCCUUGGGUAUACCCAAGUUUUGUUGUAACACCUUUUCAUUAUUUAUAUAUUCCAGAAAAU